AUGCGCAGCCUCACCGACCUCCGGCUCUACAAUAACAACCUCGUCGGCAGUAUCCCGCACCAGCUCUGUAGGCACCUCUCCAUCCAGAUACUGGACCUGUCAAACAACGGGCUCACCGGAGAUCUCCCGGACUGCUGGUGCAACUUCCACGCGCUGAUGUUCAUGUUCCUAUCGAACAACCGUCUCACCGGCAAGCUCCCGGACUGCUGGUGGAACCUGGAGGCUCUGAUUUUCAUGGAUCUAUCCAACAACUCCUUCUCAAGUAAAAUCCCCGCAGCCGUGGCAAGCCACAACUGCUCUCUUAUGUCUCUUUACCUUGCUGGAAAUGGCUUCGUUGGUCCCUUCCCGAUGGUUCUAGAGGGUUGCAACUCGCUGGCCACCCUGGACAUGGGGAAUAACAAGUUCUUUGGUGUUAUCCCUCCAUGGAUCGGGAGUCAGAUCCCAUUGUUGAGAAUCCUUAGCCUGAAAUCAAACAAUUUCACUGGACAAAUUCCUCUAGAGUUAUCACACCUUUCGCAACUUCAGCUGCUCAACAUGGCAAACAAUAGCUUGACCGGCUCGAUUCCGGUAGCCUUCGGCAGCUUGACCUCCAUGAUGCAUCCACAAAAUCUAUCGGCUACAGACCCGUCUAACAAGUUUGGUUACUAUGGUAGAAUCGACAUAACCUGGAAGGGCCGGUACAAGAUAUUUAGAAAAGAUAUCCAGUUAUUAGCCGGUAUCGAUUUGUCGGGCAAUUUAUUGUCUCAGUGCAUUCCUGAAGAGCUAACCAACCUUCAGGGCCUCCUAUUUCUAAACCUGUCGAGAAACCAUCUAUCAUGUAGCAUUCCUAAAAACAUUGGUAGUUUGACUUUUCUCGAGUCCAUUGAUCUAUCAUCUAAUGGAUUUACAGGAGCCAUUCCGCCGAGCAUCUCGAGCUUACCGUGGCUCACCACGUUGAAUGUCUCGAACAAUCUUUUAUCGGGCAAGAUACCCAUCGGGAAUCAGCUUCAGAGCCUGACUGACCCAUCAAUUUACUCCAACAAUUCUGGGCUCUGUGGAUUUCCUCUAAACAUUUUGUGUGCCAAUACUUCGCUUGCACCGGAUGAGAGAAAUGGUUAAGAGGAGGACGACUGGAUGUACUACUGUGUGAUUGCUGGGAUUGUGUCUGGUCUCUGGUUGUGGUUUGGGAUGCUCUUUACAGUUAAGUCCUGGAGAUGUGGUUUUCUUUCCUUUAUUGAUGGCAUGCAAUGUAAAAUUAUGAAAAAGUUGUGACAUUAG
Molecule: ribosomal RNA, 1257 nt
Filed under: Triticum aestivum (bread wheat)
Lineage: Eukaryota; Viridiplantae; Streptophyta; Magnoliopsida; Poales; Poaceae
Description: partial small subunit ribosomal RNA
Source: RNAcentral